Molecule: ribosomal RNA, 253 nt
Filed under: uncultured bacterium
Lineage: Bacteria
Description: partial 16S ribosomal RNA
Rfam family: Bacterial small subunit ribosomal RNA
Source: RNAcentral
UACAGAGGGUGCAAGCGUUAAUCGGAAUUACUGGGCGUAAAGCGUGCGUAGACGGUCAUGUAAGUCGGGUGUGAAAGCCCCGGGCUCAACCUGGGAAUUGCAUUCGAGACUGCAUGGCUAGGGUGCGGAAGAGGGAAGCGGAAUUUCCGGUGUAGCGGUGAAAUGCGUAGAUAUCGGGAGGAACAUCUGUGGCGAAGGCGGCCACCUGGACCAACACUGACACUGAGGCACGAAAGCGUGGGGAGCAAACAGG